Molecule: long non-coding RNA, 98 nt
Organism: Corvus hawaiiensis (hawaiian crow)
Lineage: Eukaryota; Metazoa; Chordata; Aves; Passeriformes; Corvidae
Exons: 3
Source: RefSeq, a predicted model, not a curated record
GAUCACAGAAUGCCUCAGGUUGGAAGGGAGCACAGUGGGUCACUGGUCCAACCCCCCUGCUCCAGCAGGGUCAUCCCAGAGCACAGGGCACAGGGUUG